CUAUGCCAUGCUGAAUAUACCGGUUCUCGUUAGAUCACCGAAGUCAAGCAUCAUUGGGCGCGGUCAGUACUUGGGUGGGUGACCACCUGGGAACACCGCGUGCCGUU
Molecule: ribosomal RNA, 107 nt
Filed under: Caerostris darwini
Lineage: Eukaryota; Metazoa; Arthropoda; Arachnida; Araneae; Araneidae
Source: RNAcentral